AGAUUAUCAAGAUGCUUUCGUUGAAAAUUAUACCUUGACAAUGUCCAUCCAUCUCUCGGAUGAAUAAUCU
RNAcentral lists this small RNA (70 nucleotides) under Salix viminalis (osier). The record is from RNAcentral. Lineage: Eukaryota; Viridiplantae; Streptophyta; Magnoliopsida; Malpighiales; Salicaceae.